UACAGAGGGUGCGAGCGUUAAUCGGAAUUACUGGGCGUAAAGGGCGUGUAGGCGGCCAACUAAGUCCGACGUGAAAUCCCCAGGCUUAACCUGGGAACUGCGUCGGAUACUGGAUGGCUUGAAUCCGGGAGAGGGAUGCAGAAUUCCAGGUGUAGCGGUGAAAUGCGCAGAUAUCAGGAGGAACACCGGUGGCGAAGGCGGGUCUCUGGGCCGUAACUGACGCUGAGGAGCGAAAGCGUGGGGAGCGAACAGG
This 253-nucleotide ribosomal RNA is filed under the name uncultured bacterium. Its description in RNAcentral is "partial 16S ribosomal RNA". It matches the Rfam family "Bacterial small subunit ribosomal RNA", at positions 524 to 776 of the family's 1533-position model. The record is from RNAcentral.